Long non-coding RNA from Xiphophorus maculatus (southern platyfish), 1443 nucleotides. RefSeq lists it as uncharacterized. The record is from RefSeq and is a predicted model, not a curated record. Lineage: Eukaryota; Metazoa; Chordata; Actinopteri; Cyprinodontiformes; Poeciliidae. The transcript has 5 exons.
AGCAGGAACUCAGAUGCUGGUUCUGAUGCCAGGAAUGAGAAAUGAGCCGCGGUUUCUGACGGGCCGACGCCGGAUUCUCCUUCAGGUCUUUUCUCCCUCAGGAAAAUAAAAGCGCUGAUCUCUCACCUCAGGAACAGAAGCAUGUUAGAGGAACAGACACUUAGAGAUCUCUGGAGAGGAAAAAGUUUGGCAGCCAGAGAUUCUGCUGCUUCACACAAAACAGCCUGAAAAAUAAAGAAACAGCAACACAAAGGAACCAGAGCACGGUCCUUUCAAAACGUGUUUCAGACAGGAAGAUCAGUGGUGGGACACCAGCUGCUGACUUCAUUUAUAAAGUAAAUAUCAGCUUGAAUUGGUAAAACAUAAAAGAGAAAGAAACAGCAGCGCAUCGGUUCAAAUGAUCAGUUUCAGAAAUCCUAAUUUAUACUGAGUGGAGAGACUCACAUACUGCAGUUUUCCUGUUGAGUCGAUGAAAAUGUGAGAUCAAACCUUCCAGCUUCCUUCCUGCCUCAGUUUUCCUCUGCUGACAUGAAGAUUGGCUGAUUUCCAGAAGUGGCCGUGCAGAGGGACGCUUUCCGCCAUCGUGUCAGAAGUGAAACAAAACCUUCUGCUGAAUGAAACAUGAGGCGUUUCAGAGAGAAGCAAAUAAAAGUCAGAUUUCUCUGAUUCAGCUGGCAGCGUUUUUACACUCCUGUCUUUUUAUCAUCGUUUGUGAAGCUUCUGAGAACCAGGAUUCUGAUUUAUAAUUUACAGCUUCAGUUGGAACGCCGCGAGAAGAAAUCAUGUUUCUGUUUUAUGUAUUUUCUGCUCAGACUCUGUAAUUUUCUGCCACCAGGACACUUUGGUUCUUCAGGACGUUAAUCUGAGUGGCGGAAACUCAUCCUCCAUGUCAGCUGGUAAUGAAGUGAGAGAACGGCCCAGUCCAAUCAAAUAAACGUCAGCGGAGUGGAGGGAACCUGACGGCUCUGAUUAGACACUGGAUGCAUUAACAGGAUUGUUUUCAGAAACCGAGCUUUGAUAUCCGGAUGGAAGCAGCGUUUCCUUUCACCGUGAAACCAUGACAGAACCCUUUGAUCAAGCUGAGCUCUGAGCUGUUCAUGAUGACCGAACGACGCCGCUGCCAUCUCCCCUCCAGCCGGUUCCACUUCCUGUGGGGAACUUUAAGGGUUAGCAUGGAGGCGUGUGGAGUCUGAAUGCAGCUCUUCAGGUUUCAUUCAGUUGAGUUUUGGAUGCUCUGGAUUUGCUGGGAGGUCCAGAGAUUUCAUGAAUGAUGGACUGAAGAGACUCUUCUUCUCUCUGAAGCUUUUCCUUCCUGGUGUUUAGUGACACAAACCUUCUGAUUAAUAAAACUAAAUAAUCUGAAGCUAAACUGUUUGUCUGAUAUUCUAAAGUUUCCAUCAUUUUUGCUGAGUUUCUGUUUCUGAUUGUGUCGUCUUCCUGCUG